AUUGAACGCUGGCGGCAUGCUUUACACAUGCAAGUCGAACGGCAGCACGAGCUUCGGCCUGGUGGCGAGUGGCGAACGGGUGAGUAAUAUAUCGGAACGUACCCAGAAGUGGGGGAUAACGUAGCGAAAGUUACGCUAAUACCGCAUACGAUCUAUGGAUGAAAGCAGGGGACCGCAAGGCCUUGUGCUCCUGGAGCGGCCGAUAUCUGAUUAGCUAGUUGGUGAGGUAAAGGCUCACCAAGGCGACGAUCAGUAGCUGGUCUGAGAGGACGACCAGCCACACUGGAACUGAGACACGGUCCAGACUCCUACGGGAGGCAGCAGUGGGGAAUUUUGGACAAUGGGCGCAAGCCUGAUCCAGCAAUGCCGCGUGAGUGAAGAAGGCCUUCGGGUUGUAAAGCUCUUUUGUCAGGGAAGAAACGGUAGAGGCUAAUAUCCUUUGCUAAUGACGGUACCUGAAGAAUAAGCACCGGCUAACUACGUG
Molecule: ribosomal RNA, 484 nt
Filed under: uncultured bacterium
Lineage: Bacteria
Description: partial 16S ribosomal RNA
Rfam family: Bacterial small subunit ribosomal RNA
Source: RNAcentral